AAUUUUUUUUUUUAAUGCUGAUUUAUUAUGAUAUUACAAUUAUGAGAAAAAUUACAUAGACGAUCCGACAACCGACAAUACUAUCUGCCUUAUAAGGAUCUACGUCUAACUGCAUCACUUGAACCGUCAUACGAAGAUCACGCUUGACCGAGUUUACUUGCAUCAUGUUGAAGAUCCCUUAUGAUGUGAUUAUGAUGCAAGAAACACACUUGAACGAUGGCAGUAGUUAGGAGAAGAAUACAUUAGUUAUCUUGUAUGUUUGUGUACCUGUAUAUAUGCGUUUAAACAUAAAGUUGAACUAAAUUGUGAAAUUUGGUAAGUUAGGUGGAAAAUUUGAGAACAUUUGAAUAAAUAAUGGUUUAUUGAAAAAGAUGGAAAAAACGAAAAAGAGAGAGUUGUUGAAUUCAAUUUUUAAUCCAUUGGUAUACAACCACUCAUUUCAUGCAUGAUGAUGGCGCUCUUCUAGAAGGCCAGGUUCUCAGCUAGAGCCCAAGAUUCUUCAGAUCAGCAACAGAAGAUAUAUUCAUUUACAUUUGAUCAAAUCAAACCUCAUAUUACUUUUUAAAAUUCACCAAAUACUCUAAUUAUUUGAUUUCUUGUUCUACUUAAUGUCUUUGUAAUUUAUUAAUAGAGCCUAACUAGUAUAUUAAACAAACACUAACUAACGAAAAAUAAAACACUACUUACAAAGAGCGUUUUAAACAUCAUGAAAAUAUAUAUUUGAGUAAAAAACAGCUAAGUUCUGCUGAAUUAUUCUUUAUAUUUGUGUAAAGAAUUAACGUUUGUUUAUCUAAUGGGAGUGUAAAUGAUGCCGUGGAUGAAAUAGCGGUGUGUGAUGAUAUAACAAUUGUAUUUUUCUUUUGCCAAGCAUACUACAGAUGCCCUAUAAUAAUAUAUAGUACUAUUACUAAUUAAUUUGUCAUUUUCUUAGCGUAAGUGAUAUGGCUAUGAGUUGGAUAAUUAAAUACUAGUAUUAUUUAGGGUUCAUUUGUGACUGAGGACGUGGGAUUUGGUUCACCUUCCACUUUUUGUUGUUAUUUGUUUUAAAGUGUUCUAAUUCCAACGCUGCAUUAUCUCACGGUAAACUACUAUAUAUAUAUGGGAUUUUAUUGGUUGACGAUCUGAUUGUUGCUCGUCCACAUUCUGUCUUUAACAAAAAAAGAUAUAAAAAAAAAAACUAUAUAUAUCUGGGAUUUUAUUUUGAGCAGAGUAAGAUACUACUAUGAUCUGUUUUCUUUUUUUUUUUCCGGUAAAAGUUGUACUAUGAUCUGUUCCCUCGCAAAUACGUGAAAGUAAGUUGGAUAGUUGGUGACGGUAAAGGAUACAAAAAAAAUGGUCACAGCAAUCAUACAUAUCUACUUAUAUAAAUAAGAAUAGAUAAAAUAGAAAUUAUAUAAUAUGUUAAGAUUUACUAUAUAUCUCUAGUUCCUACGGCAGUGAUGAAAAUAUGCAAUACAGAGCAUUAUAUUACAGAAAAGAAAAGAUUAGAAAAUACACAAAAACCAUGUCAACGGAAAUCAAUAAUGACAAAAGUAAUUAUUUGGAGGAGAUGAUAGAUUGAGUAUAGCGGAUAAC
This is a long non-coding RNA of Brassica rapa (field mustard), 1575 nucleotides long. RefSeq lists it as uncharacterized. NCBI's taxonomy places the organism in Eukaryota, Viridiplantae, Streptophyta, Magnoliopsida, Brassicales, Brassicaceae. The record is from RefSeq and is a predicted model, not a curated record.